CCUCACAUUUCUCUUGCAUGAACUUGUUCGAAAAUCAUCAUCAACCAACCGAUAAAUUUUAAUUCGGACUUCUGUUUGCCGACAACAUUAACCCACUCUGCUGCUGCUAAUAGUGCCACAAUCUGCAGUUUCAGCCUAUGUUCUGAGUGAAACAGGGUCGUGAUCGUUUCAUCGCAACACACCAACACCAUGUCUCUACGUUAAUUCUUAAUCUUGUUUUAAGGUAUCAAUUAUCAGAACAAUUUUAGAUCGAUUGGAAGUUAGGGUUUUGUUUCUAGCACUUACCAUCAUUAUCAGAUGCUUUAUAUAAUCUAAGCAUUUGAGACGGGAGGUGGUAGUGAAACCGACUACAAUGAUUGCCAAGAAGUCGAACCGAUGAAGCAUUCAAUCUGGAAUUGAUUUGCCGGUGCUGUAUGGAAUGAGAAUUGAAUUGCCAAUGAGGAAUGAUCGCCCUUUGGAAAAAAUGUGGCGUUGAUAGCCGAAAGACAAGGGGGUAGAUGCACUAAUCAGCUUUUGUUCCAGUUGCUGAGUGUUAUGCGCCUUAUGUCCAACGGUUGAUGCAAAACUACUAUGGAGCUGGGGGUCUCACUGGAAGCAGCCUCUCUAUUCCUAUGGGGUAGAGGCAACUAUUUAGUAAGGGAUGAGACUUUUCUCUGCUGGAUGUUCAUGAAGGAAAUCCACUGCCUAGCCAUCAAGCGGGAAUUCGAUAUUCAAUAUUUCUGAUCAUUGCUGAGCAUAUUGUCUUUACCUUUUUACGAUAUUGCAGCUUUGACGAAGCUUGAGCUCAUUAAUCGCCCAAACUUCGAAGGAGCUACAUUGUUCGCACGCAAGAUUAAGAUGAACAAAAACUCAGGCUGGAAAGACGAGUCAUACAAGCCUCAGUUCCCUAUCUAUCAGCAGAUCAAGUUCACUUUAGAUCCAGCGACCAACAUGGUGCGCUACAAGCUUGUGUAUCAGCGCGCGAAAGUCAUGGAUAAGAUCCUGUUAAUGCCGAUGAAGCAGAACUUUUUGGAAGACAUGGCUUUAUGGUGCUACGACUCAGAUACGCACGAGGCGGUGAUCGUUUUUAGUGGCGAUCAUGAAAAUUUCCGGAUGUUGGAUCCGAUGUGGAUCGUGAACAUGUCAGCGGCCGACAUCAACAAGUUAUAUCGGCACGAUAUUUUUUACGAAGACAAGGACGCGCAUCAAGCGUUGCGAUUUCAGCGCGUCGCUUGCUUCUGCUACUAUCGUGGAAUACAUGCCGGUAGUUCGUGGUCCGAGCAACACUGAAGACAGAAGAUUGAAGACCGAAGACAGUAACAGACAAGGGGGAGUUGUUGAUGCGUAUUUUUAGUGUCCGUAACUUGUCUUAAUUAACGUUGUAUUUAUACGGUCUUUUUAAUGAUUAUCGAGUCUGUAUUCGCCGUCGACCUUAGUUGGAUAUCCUCCUAUCUAUCUAAGUGUCCGACAAAGUUUGUCUCGUUUGAAAUGUAAUGUUUAAUGAACAAUGCAUGUUGCAUGUAAGUUUAUAUGUAUGUUUGUGUGUUUAUGUGUUUUGCUGCAAACUGUUUGUUUGCAGCAAACCAAACAGCUUAUGCAGCCUUCGACGAAACCCUAGGUUUCGUCGAGCACUACAUAACGAAAAUCCUUCAUGACCAAAACCCCAAGUUUCGUCGUGAUGGGUGACGAAACUCCUAGAGUUUCAUCGUCCAGGAGGUUUCGUCAGGCCCAAAUGAAGUUUCGUCAAGCCCAUUGAUGUUUCGUCGAGUUAUGGGCCUGGGCUGCUAUAUAAACCACACAUAGUUUCACUUUGAAACUAUGAGAGCAUACCCUGUCUGAAAGAUGAGUGUCAAACUUUUGUGUAUCUGUUUGAUCAUUGUUCUCAUCCUGUUAAUCAAUUGACUGUGAUUCAUUGG
Helianthus annuus (common sunflower) is the source of this 1895-nucleotide long non-coding RNA. RefSeq lists it as uncharacterized. Lineage: Eukaryota; Viridiplantae; Streptophyta; Magnoliopsida; Asterales; Asteraceae. The record is from RefSeq and is a predicted model, not a curated record. The transcript has 4 exons.